UGUCAUAUAUACUGUACAGUUAUUUUCGGUGUUUUUCUGAAACCAAUGGAGGAUAUCUCUGCCAUGCUGCCUUUAAGCUUAGUUGAAUCUUAUUGCUAUUCUCUCCUUGUAUUUUGCUUAUCAGUUCUACUUCCUCUAUUUAUUAAUUAUUGGUUAAUCUUUCUUCCAGGACUUUUGUGGGGACAAAUUUAAGUCCUUUGUGGGAAAGGUUCCUGGCUCCAUCAGAAGGUAAAUCAUUACAAUUUUCUGCCUUUUUUUUAACUUAAGUACUACUAUUUUGUGGUUACCCUAUGACCUUAAACUGUUAGCACCUGAACUUAGGUAAUCUAACACCUGACUUUCAAAAUGAAGCUGCUUUGAUGUCCAAUAAAAUUAUCAAGAAAGGAUCAAGGGGAUGGGGGUUGAGUUAUUGAAAAUUUAAGGCAGUAGGAGGGUAGCUGUCUUCGGUUUCCUUGCUUGGAUGCAGUGGAGUUUCCCUUUGUGUCUGAAAAUAUGUAGAUCUCGCUCUUCUCUCUGUUCCCAAGUACAGGAGAUAUUACUGGAUCCUGAAAUCAUUAGCCAUUUGGGAACUUGAGCAUUCAUCAUCGUAUAGCUGUCCAAUUCCAUAACUCUUAGUACAGUAACCCAAUAACAGAGGCGCUCCAAUCUUCAUUCAAGUUAUAACUGUUUUAGGUCCUGCCUUCCUCCUUUGUACCUUGUUUGAAUUGGAUUGUGUUCCAUUUUUUAAUCAGAAAAUAUUCAGAAAGGGUAAAGGAUGUAAAAUUGUUGCCUUUUUUAUGCCUCAAUUGUCAUGUAGGUUCAUAGAAUUGCUAAACAAGGGAAUAAGAAACAAGGAGUAGUAUUGCAUAUUGGCUGCUUUAUGAGUUGGUUGUUUUCAUUAAGAAGAUAGCUUACUAUGUCACUGUUGGAAGAUAUAGAAGUCAACUAUUUGAAUUUGAAAGUCAGCUAUUUGAAUUUGAAAGUCAACUUAAUAUUGACGGAGAGCAGAAACCAGAUCUCUUCUGUCUACUGUACAUAACUAGCACUUGACCAAUCAAAAAGCCACAACUCCCUGUAGUUGAGAUGAAACUUCUGAAUUUGCUCCUUUGACAAUUAAUUUAACAGGUUUCACAUGGCACUUGGAGUCUCACAACUAGUUGAAGUUUUCAUUAACAAUGGUCUGGUAUAAUUAAUAGAUAACCAUUCUUAAGCAUAUAAUUAGAUGUUUGAUUUGUAUAUUUAUACAUGUAUGGAAAAAUAUUUAAUAUUUAUUAGAAGAAAUCAACUACUUCAAUGAGUGUUGUUACAAAGA
RNAcentral lists this long non-coding RNA (1291 nucleotides) under Glycine max (soybean). RNAcentral describes it as "long non-coding RNA (GMAX_LNC000115)". Lineage: Eukaryota; Viridiplantae; Streptophyta; Magnoliopsida; Fabales; Fabaceae. The record is from RNAcentral.